ACUCCUACGGGAGGCAGCAGUGGGGAAUUUUGGACAAUGGGCGAAAGCCUGAUCCAGCAAUGCCGCGUGAGUGAAGAAGGCCUUCGGGUUGUAAAGCUCUUUUGUCAGGGAAGAAACGGUGAAAGCUAAUAUCUUUUGCUAAUGACGGUACCUGAAGAAUAAGCACCGGCUAACUACGUGCCAGCAGCCGCGGUAAUACGUAGGGUGCAAGCGUUAAUCGGAAUUACUGGGCGUAAAGCGUGCGCAGGCGGUUUUGUAAGUCUGAUGUGAAAUCCCCGGGCUCAACCUGGGAAUUGCAUUGGAGACUGCAAGGCUAGAAUCUGGCAGAGGGGGGUAGAAUUCCACGUGUAGCAGUGAAAUGCGUAGAUAUGUGGAGGAACACCGAUGGCGAAGGCAGCCCCCUGGGUCAAGAUUGACGGUCAUGCACGAAAGCGUGGGGAGCAAACAGGAUUAGAAACCCGUGUAGUCCCAU
This 472-nucleotide ribosomal RNA is filed under the name uncultured organism. RNAcentral's name for it is "partial 16S ribosomal RNA". It matches the Rfam family "Bacterial small subunit ribosomal RNA", at positions 335 to 798 of the family's 1533-position model. The record is from RNAcentral.